GACGAACGCUGGCGGCGUGCCUAACACAUGCAAGUCAACUUGACUGAAGGAGCAAUCUGACAGUAGAGUGGCGCAAGGGUGCGUAACGCGUAAGUAACUUGCCCAAGGUAAGGAAUAACGUCGAGAAAUCGGCGCUAAUACCUCAUAAUGCAGCGGAUCCGCAUGGAUAUGUUGUUAAAGGUUUACCGCCUUGGGAUAGGCUUGCGUCUGAUUAGUUAGUUGGUGUGGUAACGGCACACCAAGGCUACGAUCAGUAACUGGUCUGAGAGGAUGAUCAGUCACACUGGAACUGAGACACGGUCCAGACUCCUACGGGAGGCAGCAGUGAGGAAUAUUGGGCAAUGCUCGAAAGAGUGACCCAGCAACGCCGCGUGGAGGAUGAAGGUAUUCUAUAUCGUAAACUCCUGUGAGAGCAGACGAAAGACAAGAUUAUUAAUCUGGAUGACUGUAUGCUCAGAGGAAG
Molecule: ribosomal RNA, 463 nt
Filed under: uncultured bacterium
Lineage: Bacteria
Description: bacterial SSU rRNA
Rfam family: Bacterial small subunit ribosomal RNA
Source: RNAcentral